CCGACUUUAGCUCAGUUGGAAGAGCAUCAGACUGUAAUUGGAUAAUGACAUCUGGGUGUCGCCUGUUCGAACCAGGCAAGUCGGA
Molecule: non-coding RNA, 85 nt
Organism: Armillaria novae-zelandiae
Lineage: Eukaryota; Fungi; Basidiomycota; Agaricomycetes; Agaricales; Physalacriaceae
Source: the annotation of a GenBank genome assembly